GUCCGUGUGGUGUAAUGGACAACACGUCUGCUUCCCAGGCAGAUGAUUCGGGUUCAAUUCCCGGUACGGACU
RNAcentral lists this transfer RNA (72 nucleotides) under Sarcina sp. DSM 11001. It matches the Rfam family "tRNA". From Rfam's summary of the family: Transfer RNA (tRNA) molecules are approximately 80 nucleotides in length. Their secondary structure includes four short double-helical elements and three loops (D, anti-codon, and T loops). The record is from Rfam by way of RNAcentral. Lineage: Bacteria; Bacillati; Bacillota; Clostridia; Eubacteriales; Clostridiaceae.